GAUGAAGAACGUAGCGAAAUGCGAUAAGUAAUGCGAAUUGCAGAUUUCAGUGAAUCAUCGAAUCUUUGAACGCACAUUGCGCCCGCCAGCACUCUGGCGGGCAUGCCUGUUCGAGCGUCAUUUCAACCAUCAAGCCCCCAGGGGCUUGUGCUGGGGCCCUGCGGCUGCCCGCAGGCCCUGAAAACCAGUGGCGGGCUCGCUAGUCACACCGAGCGCAGUAGCACAUCUCGCUCAGGGCGUGCGGCGGGCUCCUGCCGUGAAACCCCCCACUGUAACCCCAAAGGUUGACCUCGGAUCAGGUAGGAAUACCCGCUGAACUUAAGCAUAUCAAUAAGCGGAGGA
Molecule: unclassified non-coding RNA, 342 nt
Filed under: soil metagenome
Description: partial contains 5.8S ribosomal RNA, internal transcribed spacer 2, and large subunit ribosomal RNA
Rfam family: 5.8S ribosomal RNA (bases 1-120)
Source: RNAcentral